ACAAUCGUUUGAGAAGCGUCACAGUAGAGCAUUUUUCUACAUGCGGAGCGGUGUUUUUAUUUGCAGGUUUCCCUUCAGUAGGAAAUUGCUGGACAGGCGGACCAGCGCACCGGAAUUGUACUGGCGAAGCCACAAGCAACUCAAAGAAUCUGUUUAAUUGUUGUACUUUGAACAAUUAUGCUUCUACAAAGGCCACAGCAGAAAAACAGCCUGAUGCCGAGUAUUUCUGUGCCACGAAGUAAUCAAGAGACAAUGCUUACGCCUAGCCACAGCAGCUCCCUCAUACAGACUCUGCAAGCCAAGAGGCCAUGGAGGCAAAUACAGCCAGCACACCUCGAACAGCCACCUUGACUGCGGGUGUGUCACCCUAGUCGCCAAGGAAACAUUUGAGGGAAAGUGACAGGCAAUGUGAACAGCCACUUCUCCAUGUAAACGAUACUCGUUCUCUCGGAUGACUCCUACGCCUCACCACGCCAGCACACUUGUGCACAAAGAUGCCGCGGAGACAAGUGCAGGUCAGAGGCAAGAAGCAGUGGCACUGAUGUCGACAUUCACCCAAUUUCUUUUUCUUACACUGAGGCAGCCAGCACACUUCAAACAGCCACCUUGACUGUGGGUGUGUCAGUAGAUUCCUGUUGUACAUAUGCUCAUAAUAAACUUCAGUAAACUUGAA
RNAcentral lists this unclassified non-coding RNA (673 nucleotides) under Dermacentor andersoni. Its description in RNAcentral is "uncharacterized LOC126548485". The record is from RNAcentral. Lineage: Eukaryota; Metazoa; Arthropoda; Arachnida; Ixodida; Ixodidae.